Molecule: long non-coding RNA, 4282 nt
Organism: Alligator mississippiensis (American alligator)
Lineage: Eukaryota; Metazoa; Chordata; Crocodylia; Alligatoridae
Exons: 2
Source: RefSeq, a predicted model, not a curated record
GUGCGCGCUCCCUCCUUCCCCUCCUCCCUCGGAAACAACGAGCCAAAGUCCACCCUGGCCGAGCGGCGCCUCCGAGAGCAUCGCUGUGGCGGGGCGCGGGGCCGGGCAGCCACCAGCUUUCAGGUUGAAAAGCACCCUUGGUCAGGCUGAGAAAGCGUCUGCAGCUGGUGUGUGCGUGCUCUUCCUGGAUGGAAGGAGUAGUAAAGCGCCGUGAGAGUGCGAAUUAAAUGCAUACGUGGAUGCUUGGAUCCAGGGAAACAAGGCAGAACGCUAGCAAGUGAGAUGGGACCAGCGUUUCUAAGAAAAAAAAACUUUUUGUUUUGUUUUGUUUUGUUCUUGGCUCCAGGCUGUAGCUUUCCCUCCACUUCCAAGCCCCGGAGAGAGAAGCAGGGCUGGAUGGGACCCCCCCCCAGAGUCUAAUCUCCCUGGCUGAGGGAGGCUCAGCCCUAUCCAGACCACCUCAAACAAACCAUCUCAACUCAACUCACCCCUCUUUCUUGGAUUUAAAAAGCAAGCAACCUGGUUCCAAAAGCAGGGGGGGGGGGAGGAGCGGGGCUCUGUUGGCAGCCAUAUGAGAAGGGCAUGGUUUUCAACAGGUGGUUUUCAGCCUGCGGUCCAUAGACCCCUGGGGUUGGCAGGCUGUGUCUGCGGGGUCCAUGAAAGAUGACGGUAAUGGAUCAAAAGUAUGCAGAUCCCCCCACACUUACCAGUCAGAGGGGUCAGCGAGAUUUUUUAGGGGUCCACAAAUGAAGAAAGAUUGAAAACCACUGUCCUAGCUCAUAACUUCCCUUUGUAUAGUCCCCCAAACUAAGACUAGACUUCAUCCUACCUACCCACCCAGAGUCACUGCCAGCAGGCCUUGGGAAGUGUGACUUGAAAAGGAAGCUGUGGGCUAGGAGGAUGCAUAGCCUCCUCAUCUAGUAGCCAAUAGGCCACUGCUAGUGUCUUUUUUUUUUUCUUUUUACUUUGGUAGUAGUUUGCUUUCUUUUUAAAGCAAAAAAAGAGGGUGCAGUCUUGUGUUGAAUUUAGAGGUGCAGACAGAAUUGACAGUUUUCACCCAAUGUGGCCUCUGAAAAUGCUCUACAGCCAUGACCAAACAGAAGUGCACAGCUGCAGAGCACUUUAAAAGGACCCAAUUCUGUGAAAAUCUGAACCUUCAUUGCAAGAGGGUUCAGAUGAAGAUACACCAAAACAGAGCAGCUUCAGUAAUUUCUGUCUGCACCAUAGAUGAUGGUUGUAUGGGAUGGUUUGGGUAGGGAGGAUCCUGCCUCAGGCAAGAGGUUGGACUCACUAUGACUUUUUUUUUAAUUUGGGAGUUAGUGAGAUCAACACUGCAGGCUGUUCCUUUUCGGAAUGAAUCCGGCCUGUGGUUCAGCCCUCAAAACUCACUGAACAUCCUAUUUCAAAAUCACAAUUGAAAGGGAGAAUUACUGCCUUUGCACAAUGUAACUGACUGCUGUAAUUCAUAGCUGCACAUAGGUACAGGCCAACAUUUUGGUUCCUUGCCUUCCUGUUACAAGUCAGAUGUGUAAGCAAAUGAAAACCAAAUUAAAUGCAUCAGAAAUGAGAGAAAUCACCAUGAGAGUAACAGGCCUGUGCCUCAUACCCAACGAAAGUUAAGCAUCAGAAAAUUGCCAGGAUCAGUUGUUGCAUAAAACAGGCCCAAGGUAUGGCUUGGCUCUUUUCACAAAUGAAAAAAAUAGAGUUGAAAUGAGAAAUAUUUUUAAAGAUUUGAAAGUGAUGCAGAGGGAUAUUUUUUGGGAGGGGAGGUGAUUUCCCUGGAAAGACAGGAAAAGCUGAGAGAGGUCUUACAGAGGCCAGCAAUAAGACAUAAAACAAGUCACAAGCCUCUAGACUUGAACCUGAACAGAAAAAAAAGAGAUGGUUGAAGAAAAAACAGACAAGAAUGACUGUACAGAGUGUCACAAAAAUUAGAGGAGGAACCAGUUUACUCUUUCAGGAAGUGGUUAUCUACUACAUUUCUUAAACUGAGAUCAGUAAAGCUAUGGGGUUUUUUAAAUAUUUUUCUUCAAAUAACCAACUUUAUUUUUGCUAAAAAUUAUAGGAUGUAAGCAGCAUUUUAAAAGAGUUACUGUAAAACAAAUCAAAGAUUGGCUUGAAGAUGAGCUUUUUAUAUCCAUUUACUGAAAUACAGCAUCCUAUUCCACAUAUGAAAACCAUUUUGAUAGGAAAGGCAGGCAAGUCUGGGAUGAAAUCUUCUGACAAGCAGCCUUACACACAUGAGAUAUUAUUAUUAUAUAAAAUUCCCUACUGUGUAAUUCUUUCCUGUAAAGCUUUUCAAAAUUGUGGGUCAAGCAACAUGUGCUGAGGUAUGUACCUGCUUCAACAAAAAUUAAGUGCGUUUGAAUAAGCACUUCUCCCAAACUCCAGAUCAAAUGCCUGCAAUUGUGUGAAAAGAGUUCUGGCAGCAUCAGACUUACAAGAGUGAUAUGCACUGUCAUAUAAUCAGAACCUCAACAUGAAACGAAACCUUUAAUUUAUGCCCAUUUGGGACAGUGAGUUCUGCCCCAAGUCACACAAGUUCUAUUCAAUAUGAUCAAAAUGUAGCAUGGUAUAUGCCUACUAAGUAUUGUUACUGAGAAACUUGUUAAGGCUGAGUUAAGUUUGCCUAUAGACAUGAAAUCAGAAAGUCUUGUAAAACGAUAAUCACUUACCUCAAAGAAAGAAACCCGAGAAAGUAUGAUUAUUCUAACAUAAGGCUCAUGUUUUACAAACUCAAACACUAGAAAUCAUGUCAAACAAAAAAUACCGUAAGCCCCCUUACCUUUGCCCCAGUACUCCCACCACCAAGCAUCCUAUCCAGCUCUACUUGACCUGUGUCUAAUACCUCAGUCUUAGUUCUCUUUAAUUGUGUAUUCCUUGGCGCCAGAUACCAAAUUGAAAAGAAAUAAUGCAUUUCAAGUUGGACUUUCAAAAUAAUCUACAUCCACAUUAGGGGUUGUCUGAUUAUGUUGUACAGAUUGCAAACCUAUAUAAUGUAAUUGAUAAAAAAAAAAAAAUCAUGCACAGACAAAGCCCAAGUGUUUAUAAUGUAAGGCCUUGUUCACACCCGCUUUUACAUGGGUUUUGUUCAACCGGGUUAAACUGGCAGAUUCCGACAUAGAUUCUCUUCUAUUGGUUGUGACAAUAUACCAUAAAUGUAACUCACCUAUGGCCAAUAGCUCUGCCAUGAUUUUAGGUGGAUAUCUGUACCAUCUCUCCCUAUAAAGUCUGCACCAUUCUUAGUCUUUGCUGUUCUUAUUUAACUGUAUAGACAUCAGUGAUUCUGGAAACAACCGUCACAAAACUAAACGUUUCAUGAAGGAAUGGACAAAACUGAAUAACAUAUUCACAGCCAAAAAGUUGUAUCCAAUUCAACAUCAGAAAUUCAUUACAGAAUGAUGGAUAAGAUCUAGGUGGAUAAGAUGGGUAUUUGGACUAUGCAGCUAUUAUAAUGGUCUUGGAGAAAGAUGCCUGUAGUUGUCUUAUGCAAAGAGAGCUGAUGAAAUGCCUAGUUAAGACUUUUUUUUAAACUUAGAAUAAGGAACCAAUAGAAUCUUUUUGGGGAAAAAAAUCAAUUUCCUACCAAUAUGUCGGUAAUAACACCUGGAUAGGAUCAUGCAUACUUUCCGCAGUUUGCCAAACCUCAGUGACUAACACCCAAAAACUAACAAACAUCUUUCCAGAAAUAGUCCAAGCUGAUUUUGGUUUUUUUUACCAACACAAUAGAAAAGCUCCACUCUGAGUUAUCACAAGGCAGGAAAAAUUAAAACAGCUGACCUUUCAAAUUCUUCCAUCUUACAACCAACUUUUAUGUGUCUCAAUGCUUUAAUAAAGAAAAAGCCUGAAAGAAAAAAACUUCUCUGCAUGUGACAUUUUAGGCAAAAGGCUGAGUUCGAAUGAAGCUAGGGGAAAGGGAAGUAACCGCAAUCAUAUAAUUGAAAACUAGUUAAUCUUAUGCAGAGAUUAGUUCUACAGAAUUAUUCCUAACUUACUUCAAAAUUUGUGUUUCCUCCUUUCAUUCUGUCAGUUGCUUCCAUCUCAUAUACUUCCUUCGUCCUGGUUCGCCUGCUCAUUCCCAUCCGUGACGAUUGCACUAUGAAGUGUUUGGUUUCCCAAAACUGCACUUGUGUACUUUUUAACAUCAUGACAUCAAUAGUAAACAAUGAUUGCAAGCUCUUCAGGGGCAGCAGCCUGCACUUUCCUGUUACGUAAUACACUGUGUGCAUGUAUGGGCCUUACAUUCAAAGGAGCAAUAAUAAAGAUACAGACUGUUUUAUAA